UUCUCCUGGAAACGGGUGGUAAUGCCGGAUGCUCCAGUUGAUCGCAUGGUCUUCUGGGAAAGCUUUCGCGGUAUGGGAUGGGGUCGCGUCCUAUCAGCUUGACGGCGGGGUAACGGCCCACCGUGGCUUCGACGGGUAGCCGGCCUGAGAGGGCGACCGGCCACAUUGGGACUGAGAUACGGCCCAGACUCCUACGGGAGGCAGCAGUGGGGAAUAUUGCACAAUGGGCGCAAGCCUGAUGCAGCGACGCCGCGUGAGGGAUGGAGGCCUUCGGGUUGUAAACCUCUUUUAUCGGGGAGCAAGCGAGAGUGAGUUUACCCGUUGAAUAAGCACCGGCUAACUACGUGCCAGCAGCCGCGGUAAUACGUAGGGUGCAAGCGUUAUCCGGAAUUAUUGGGCGUAAAGGGCUCGUAGGCGGUUCGUCGCGUCCGGUGUGAAAGUCCAUCGCUUAACGGUGGAUCCGCGCCGGGUACGGGCGGGCUUGAGUGCGGUAGGGGAGACUGGAAUUCCCGGUGUAACGGUGGAAUGUGUAGAUAUCGAAAAAGAAACACC
This 552-nucleotide ribosomal RNA is filed under the name Bifidobacterium longum. RNAcentral describes it as "bacterial SSU rRNA". It matches the Rfam family "Bacterial small subunit ribosomal RNA", at positions 145 to 710 of the family's 1533-position model. The record is from RNAcentral. Lineage: Bacteria; Bacillati; Actinomycetota; Actinomycetes; Bifidobacteriales; Bifidobacteriaceae.